This 1427-nucleotide long non-coding RNA is filed under the name Anas platyrhynchos platyrhynchos (common mallard). RNAcentral describes it as "lncRNA (ENSAPLG00000021687.1)". Lineage: Eukaryota; Metazoa; Chordata; Aves; Anseriformes; Anatidae. The record is from RNAcentral.
ACCCGGGCACCCUCCCCGGCAUCUCCCUGCCUUUCCAGAGAUGUUCCCAAUCUCUCCAUCCCUGCAAAAAAAAAAAAAUAAUAGAUGUUGUAUUAUUUAUUGAUUUAUUUGCUAAUUUUUCCCUGGUGAGCUGCAGCGCAGAGGGGUGCCCAGGACCCGUGGGGGUGUUGGGGAUUGGGAGGGCAGGAACGGGGCUUGGACACCGCCCGGAGCAGCUGUGGGAUGGUUCCUGUGGGCACGUGUGUGGGGGUCCCUCGUGGUGCCGUGCGGCCAGAUCCAUGGCCAGGGGAUUGGGGUGGCGGAGCUGGCCCCUGUGCCAGCUGGAAGGUAGCCUUGAGUGCCCACGAGGUGGUCCUGGGUGCCCAUGAGGUGGUUUUGGGUGGCCGGAGAGGGCCUUAGAUGGUGAAGAGAUGGCCUCAGGUGUCCAGGAGAUGGUCUCGGGUGGCUGCAGGGUGGUCCUGGGUGGCUGGGAGGUCACCGUGGAUGUCCGGGAGGUGGCCUCCAGUGGUUUGGGGGCUCAGGAGAUGUUUUUUUGGGUGGCCAAGAGGGGGACCCCUCCCUGCGGGGCCUGCGCCCAUGUGGCCUCACUGCAGGGCCGCACCAUAGGGGCCUGGGGACACAGGGACAGGUGUCCCUGGGGGGGGGGGACACAUGGGGAGGAGACAUCACCCACGCCGUGCCUCACCCCCUUCCUUCUCCUCUCCCUCCGCAGUGCCUCGCCGGAGCCUCCUCGCCGGGAUGAACGGGACGGCCAACCUCACCCCGGGCGGCCGCGGCCACUAUGGCUCCGCCAUCCCGGUGCCACGCUCCGUGCCCCCUGGCAAGCUGCCUGCUGUGGCCCCCCCGGCCCGACACAGCAGCCCGGGGCCCCCCGCCUCCCACCAAGCCUCGUCCCCGCGGCUGGCCUCCGGCCCCAAAAGCCUUAAACCUAAACCCAGAGCCGCCACUGGCCACGAGCCAGCCGGGGAGCCCAGCCCCGGCGUCCCCCCCCGUGGGGGGCAGAGACCCCUGGUGCCCCCCGGGAAGGGGCCGGAGGUGGGCAAGGGGGUGGCGGGCAGCCUGCGGGGACCUGGGGGUCGCCGUCCCUUGAGCUGCUCCGUGCGGGGGCCAGGGGGGACCCCUGAGAUGGAGGAUGCCCCCCCCGCCGGCUCGCAGAGCAGGGUGCCCGUUUUUGGGUCGGGGGCCAUCAGUUUCUCCUCGGCCCCCCCACACAGCCGGCCUGUGACAGCCACCGUGGCACCCUUCCAGUACCGGCUGCAGGGGGACAGGGAGGAGCAGGCCACGUCCCCGUGUGACACCGACCCCAAACCCGGAGCCUUGAGUGAGUCCAUGGGGGGGUUUCCUUGGGGGGUGUGUGUGGGGAGGUCCUGUGUGCCCCCUGCCCGGGGGCUGGCCUGGGACUUGUGGGGGGCGAUGCUGGGUGCCCC